This 1906-nucleotide long non-coding RNA is filed under the name Homo sapiens (human). Its description in RNAcentral is "HSALNT0153621". Lineage: Eukaryota; Metazoa; Chordata; Mammalia; Primates; Hominidae. The record is from RNAcentral.
AGUUCACUCACAGACAGCAAACCAAGGGGUUGUGCUGUCUCCUUGUCUCCCAGGGAUAAACCCACAUGACAGUUUACAAAAACAGGUAAUCAUAAGAAGCAAAUGGCCCAGAUGAAACACAGCAAAAGAAUGAGAAGUGGUAACACUGGGAGUGAAAUUUGAACCAAGCGUAAAUGGAGUGAUCGUAGAAAUAGCUGACUGUGGAAUGUGGACACUCUCUGUAUCUGCAGCCUGGGAAGCUUAAAGAAGGUGAACUUACUGACACCAGUUAGAAAGUGACUGUGAUGAAACGAUGAAGAUGCUCCAGAGGAAGUGACACCAGCAAUAGGAAAAAAAAAACAAACCUCUCACUGAAGGAACUCUCGGAGAUAUUUCAUGACACAGAAGGCACAAAGGAUACAAUAUUGGCAACUAAUCGAAACUUAGAAAUGAUAUGACAGCUCACCAAGGCAUAGAAAAAGAUGCUUGCUCUAUCAUAAGUUAUAGAAUGAGAAGAAGUAUAUCAGAAAACUCAAAUAUAACUCCACAACUUUUUCAAGAGUUUCUUUUUGUUUUCCAAUGGUAACGGGAGAGAAAAUAAGCUGUCAUUAUCGGAAUGAUCAAACACAGAGAGAAAAGAGGCAGAGGUGAGAAGAUGGAGAAGAUGAAUACAUUUGCUUUCAGCAAACCAAUGGAAGUCCAUUUGCAUGAUCUGAAAAGGAAAAUGAGAAGCUAAUUUUUCUAUACAAGGCAGAAUUUAAGAAAUACAAUUCCUAAGGACUCCAGUGGAUACAGCUCUGGUUCCUGGACUUCGUGUUUUGGCUUGGUCUUUCUGCUUUUUCAAUUUUGUCACUGGAAGAAGCCACCUGGCAAAGUGGAAAGGAUGAGAACUAGAGAAUGUGCCUGUCAUCUUCAGGGGAGAGCCUGAUGGAGCUAGAACAAAGGUGGAUACAGGACUUCAGGAAGUUAGACUCCAAAAUAUUUUAAGAAAAUAUGGCGGCCAGGCGUGGUGGCUCACGCCUGUAAUCCUAGUACUUUGGGAGGCUGAGGCGGGCGGAUCACAAAGUCAGGAGAUCGAGACCAUCCUGACUAACCUGGUGAAACCCUGUCUCUACUAAAAAAAAGAAAAAGAAAAAGAAAAUAUGGCAUAAUUCCACAAGUUUCUAGAAAAGGAAACAGUAUCAACAAGCACUCAAAAGCAUGGCUUUGGAUAAUUCCAAUGAGAAGACAAGAGAGAAGGGGAGACUCUCAAAGAAACUAGUGAUGGCAGAGCCCUUUAAGCAAGGACGUAGAAUGGAUGUUCAAAAAGAUGGAGGUGUGAUCCAGAGAACAUGCCUUUCACUGUGAAAACCAGCACCUUCAAGGCCAGGCGCAGUGGCUUGCGCCUAUAAUCCCAGCAUAUUGGGAGGCCGAGGUGGGUGGAUCACCUGAGGUCAGGAGUUCAAGACCAACCUGACCAACAUGGUCUACUAAAAAUACAAAAAUUAGCCCGGCAUGGUGGCGGGCGCCUAUAAUCCCAGGUACUCGGGAGGCUGAGACAUGAGAAUAGCUUGAACCAGGGAGGCGGAGGUUGCAGUGAGACGAGAUCACACCAUUGCACUCCAGCCUGGGCAACAGAGCAAGACUCCAUCUCAAAAACAAACAAACAAACAAACAAAAACACCACACAAAACCAGCACCUUCCACAGUGUCUAGCAUACGUUAGUCACCAAAACAGGUUUGCUAAAUGAACAAAUGAAUGAAUGGCAUUUUAUGUGUCAGUAAAUAUGCUUCAAAAUCAUGAUGUAUGAUGAGUAAGCAACUCUAUCAAAUAAAUAUAACGUAAUUUGCUGUGAGCACAUAAUUUGCUGUGUUCUAGUAUUGAACAGUUGGACUAUUUCCAUAUUUUAAUUUUUACUAUUAUGUUUGAGGAUGAUAUAUAAAUCUU